Long non-coding RNA from Panicum virgatum (switchgrass), 290 nucleotides. RefSeq lists it as uncharacterized. NCBI's taxonomy places the organism in Eukaryota, Viridiplantae, Streptophyta, Magnoliopsida, Poales, Poaceae. The transcript is spliced from 2 exons. The record is from RefSeq and is a predicted model, not a curated record.
CGACGACUCGCUGGUGCAGGCCCAGGACGGCAUCGCGAGCGCCAUUGCGUACUGCAAGCUCUCCCUGUCACCUUCGAGAGGGUUCGAAUCUCCAUUGUUGCCUUUCCGUGGAUGAACUGGCUGGAGAAGAGAAGCACAAGAAGACGACACUGGCGGUUGGUGAUUGCGAUGCUGAGUUAUGUAUGAUCUUGGUGAGUUAUAUAUUCGGAAUUGUUUGAGGAGCUGAUGUGGAUAGAUGCACUGAUUUUACAAUUUACAGUGUCAAAUUCUUAGAUUUUACCAGCGCUUAA